RNAcentral lists this ribosomal RNA (496 nucleotides) under uncultured bacterium. RNAcentral's name for it is "partial 16S ribosomal RNA". It matches the Rfam family "Bacterial small subunit ribosomal RNA", at positions 29 to 507 of the family's 1533-position model. The record is from RNAcentral.
AUGCACGCUGGCGGCGUGCCUAAUACAUGCAAGUCGAGCGAACGGACGAGAAGCUUGCUUCUCUGAUGUUAGCGGCGGACGGGUGAGUAACACGUGGAUAACCUACCUAUAAGACUGGGAUAACUUCGGGAAACCGUAGCUAAUACCGGAUAAUAUUUUGAACCGCAUGGUUCAAAAGUGAAAGACGGUCUUGCUGUCACUUAUAGAUGGAUCCGCGCUGCAUUAUCUAGUUGGUAAGGUAACGGCUUACCAAGGCAACGAUGCAUAGCCGACCUGAGAGGGUGAUCGGCCACACUGGAACUGAGACACGGUCCAGACUCCUACGGGAGGCAGCAGUAGGGAAUCUUCCGCAAUGGGCGAAAGCCUGACGGAGCAACGCCGCGUGAGUGAUGAAGGUCUUCGGAUCGUAAAACUCUGUUAUUAGGGAAGAACAUAUGUGUAAGUAACUGUGCACAUCUUGACGGUACCUAAUCAGAAAGCCAUGGCUAACUACGUG